This 32-nucleotide non-coding RNA is filed under the name Homo sapiens (human). The record is from RNAcentral. Lineage: Eukaryota; Metazoa; Chordata; Mammalia; Primates; Hominidae.
UAAACAGGUAGUAACGUGUUGUGUUUUAUGGU